This 468-nucleotide ribosomal RNA is filed under the name uncultured bacterium. RNAcentral describes it as "partial 16S ribosomal RNA". It matches the Rfam family "Bacterial small subunit ribosomal RNA", at positions 28 to 507 of the family's 1533-position model. The record is from RNAcentral.
GACGAACGCUGGCGGCGUGCUUAACACAUGCAAGUCGAACGGAAAGGCCCUGCUUUUGUGGGGUGCUCGAUUGGCGAACGGGUGAGUAACACGUGAGUAACCUGCCCUUGACUUUGGGAUAACUUCAGGAAACUGGGGCUAAUACCGGAUAGGAGCUCCUGCUGCAUGGUGGGGGUUGGAAAGUUUCGGCGGUUGGGGAUGGACUCGCGGCUUAUCAGCUGGUUGGUGGGGUAGUGGCUUACCAAGGCUUUGACGGGUAGCCGGCCUGAGAGGGUGACCGGCCACAUUGGGACUGAGAUACGGACCAGACUCCUACGGGAGGCAGCAGUGGGGAAUAUUGCACAAUGAGCGGAAGCCUGAUGCAGCAACGCCGCGUGCGGGAUGACGGCCUUCGGGUUGUAAACCGCUUUCGCCUGUGACGAAGCGUGAGUGACGGUAAUGGGUAAAGAAGCACCGGCUAACUACGUG